UAGGGAAUCUUCGGCAAUGGACGAAAGUCUGACCGAGCAACGCCGCGUGAGUGAAGAAGGUUUUCGGAUCGUAAAACUCUGUUGUUAGAGAAGAACAAGGACGUUAGUAACUGAACGUCCCCUGACGGUAUCUAACCAGAAAGCCACGGCUAACUACGUGCCAGCAGCCGCGGUAAUACGUAGGUGGCAAGCGUUGUCCGGAUUUAUUGGGCGUAAAGCGAGCGCAGGCGGUUUCUUAAGUCUGAUGUGAAAGCCCCCGGCUCAACCGGGGAGGGUCAUUGGAAACUGGGGGACUUGAGUGCAGAAGAGGAGAGUGGAAUUCCAUGUGUAGAGGUGAAAUGCGUAGAUAUAUGGAGGAACACCAGUGGCGAAGGCGGCUCUCUGGUCUGUAACUGACGCUGAGGCUCGAAAGCGUGGGGAGCAAACAGG
Molecule: ribosomal RNA, 429 nt
Filed under: Gemmatimonadota bacterium
Lineage: Bacteria; Pseudomonadati; Gemmatimonadota
Description: Gemmatimonadetes bacterium partial 16S ribosomal RNA
Rfam family: Bacterial small subunit ribosomal RNA
Source: RNAcentral